AUGAAGAAGGAUAGUUUCUCCUUGACAUAACAGGGAGCAUUUGAAGAGUAUUUUUAAUUACAUAAAAAUACUAGGUAAAGAUCUUUAGACAGAGUAAAUAUUGUUUCCAAUGGUAGAAACGUUGAUAACAGUGGACACAAAAGUAUAAGCAGCAUAAGAAACAGAAGGGAGAUACCACAGCUAAGGCCAGAACUGGAGUGCCACAUCGAAUUCUGCCCAUCACAUUUUAGGAAGGACAUAAAGAAGGUGCAGGUGAAAUCACAGAAGAAGCUGCAGGGGGUUGAAGUGGAAGAACUCCAGCUUCUGGGUUUUCAGUUACCAGAAAAUCCUGGAAUAUACUGGAAGGCUACAAUGGACAGAUUCCUCACAUCCUGGUGACCCUGAGGACACUAAACUCCGUGACAUAACGCAUACAAGGUGCUGGAGGAGCUCAGCAGGUCAGCAGCAUUUGUGGAAAGGGCCGAGGCCCUUCAUCAAGACUGGAAAGGAAGCCGGAAUAGGAAGGCAUCCACAGAAGAACAAAGAAGCAAAAUUGGACCAAUGAAAAACUACACACAAAAAAGACUGACAGAUGGUGCAAAUAUAAAGGGAAUAAGUGUUAUAAAUAAUAAUAAAUAAGUAAGUAAAUAAAUACAAUCAAGAACAUGAGUUGCAGAAUCUCUGAAAGUGAGUUGAAAGGUUGCAUUCAAUGAUCAGUUCAGAACUGAGGUGAGUAAAGUUAUCUACACUAGUUCAGGAGCCUGAUUGUUGUAUGGUAAUAACAAUUCUUCAGCCUGGUGGUCUGGGACUAAACACUCCUGUACCUCCUUCUUGAUGGUAGCAGCGAGAAGAGAGCAUGGCCUGGAUUGUGAAGUCCUUGAUGAUGCAGACCUAUUGCUGAUAAAGAUUAAAAGGCCAUUCACUAUUGGAACCUUUACAGUGAAUUUCAAUCUAUGACAGCCCAGUAGACAAGGUUCAUGCCUUAAGGUAAAUGGGUACUCAUAACUUAACCUCCCAUGCCAAGACCCAAGCACAAAACCUAGCUUAAAAAUUAUUAUUACUGAUGAGAUGCAAUCUCAUACCAAGGUCCACUGUACCUUCUCAGUUCGAUACAAAUGCUCCUAUUCUCAUAUCCCAACAGGGUAUCAUCCAACCUGACAGCACGAACAUCGGUUUCUCCAGCUUUAGGUAAUUCUUCCUCCCUCCACCUUCUCUCUUUUUCCAUUCUCCAUUCUGGUUCUACUCAUACCCAUCCUCUUAUCCUCACCUGCCCAAUGCCUCCCUCUGGUUUUCCCCCUCUUUCCUCCAUGGUUCCUCACUAUCCUCUCCUAUCAGAUUCCUUCUUCUCCAGCCCUUUACCACUUCAUCUAUCACCUCCCAGCUUCCCACUUCAACCUUCCCCCUCUCCCCCCCACAUCCACCUUCCCCCUCACCUGCUCUCACCUGCCAACUUGUAGUCCUUCCCCUCCUCCUCCUCCUCCUCCUCCUUUUCCCCCUUCCUUUCCAAUCCUGAAGAAGGGUUUUAGCCUGGAACAUCAACUUUUUAUUCCUCUCCAUAGAUGCUGCCUGACCUGCUGAGUUCCUCUAGCAUUUUAUGUAUGUUGUAUUUGAUUUCUUGCAUCUGCAGAAAUUCUUGUGAUAUGGGUGUUUACCGCGAACAAAUUGGUUGCUGGUUUUCUUGCAUUUCAACAAAAUGCAACGUUCCUUUAGUUCCCCUUGGGCCAAUAAGGGAUGGGCAAAAAGUGUUGCGUUGGUAUGGUCACUGUCUUUCCAAGAACAAAAACAUUGCUAAAUUAUCUGAUCUUUCAAUCAACUUCAACAUCUUUGGCUAAGGAGUGUCUACGAUCUGAGAGAAAGCAUAGAGGAUGGAAAACAACUGAGGAAUUGAUUACACAGAUAAUAAAUUGUAAUUUACAGUCAUAUAUCCCACUGGCAUUCACACAAGACUGGCCCAUAGACGGCCUUGUGGACAUCAAUAAAUGCAUGCCCGAGGUCAUCAGCUCAGUGAAUGACCCUCUGUGGUCUGUCUGAAAGUUAUUGGUAUUCUAGCACAGUGAGGUGUCCAUGUGGGAAAGCAGCAGAUGGGCAUCAUCCACCCUGCAAGAGUACAUGUUAAGGAAUACAGCCGCAGGAGGACUGGGUGCCUCCAGGGUGGCAUGGUGUCAUAGGUUUCAAUGAGAUUCCCUCCCAUUCUUCUAAAUUCCAGCAAAUACAGACCCAGAGCCAUCAAACACACCUCAUAUGAUAACCCAUUCAUUCCUGGAAUCAUUAUCAUGAACCCUUUUCAAAGUCAGCACACCUGUUCUUAAAUAAACAGCGCAAAACUUCCCAAAAUACUCAAACUGAGGCCUCACCAAUGCUUAUAAAGCCUCAGCAUUACACCCUUGCUGAUAUACUUUAGUCCUCUUGGAACAAGUGCUAACAUUUGUAUUCAUCUUCCUCACCACCGACUCAACCUGCAAGUUAACCUUUAGGGAAUCCUGCACAAAGACUCCCAAGUCCCUUCUGCACCUCAAAUUUUUAAAUUUUCUGCCGUUUUAGAAAAUAGUCUGAUCACUUUUCCUUCUACCAAAGUGCUUGACUAUACGCAUCCCGACAUUGUAUUCCAUCUGCCACUUCUUUGUCCAUUCUCCAAAUCUGUCUAAGUCCUUCUGCAGCCUCUCUGCUUCCUGAACACUACCUGCCCCUCCACCUACCUUCGUGACAUCUGCAAACUAGGACAUAAACAAAUCAAUUCUGGGAAGAUCAUUACCAAUGCCUCCACAAUCUUCCCAACCACCUCUUUCACACCCUAGGCUGUCGUCCAUCUGGUCGUGGUGACUUAUCUAACUUCAGACCUUUCAGCUUCCCAAGCACCUUCUCACAAGUAAUAGUAAUUGCACACAUACACACAGACACACACACUUCUGCCACCUGACACACUUGAACUUCUGGCAUGCUGCCGGUGUCUUCCACACUGAAGACGGAUGCAAAGUGCUUACUUAAUUUGUCCACCAUUCCCUUCUUCUCCCAUUACUACCUCUCCAUCAUCAUUUUCCAAUGGUCUGAUAUCUAUCAUCUCUCAUUUACUCUUUAUAUCUCUGAAAAAACUUCUGGUAUCCUCAUUGAUAUUAUUAGCAAGCUUAUCUUCAUAUUUCAUCUUUUCCCUCCUUUUUUAUGCCUUCUUGUGGUUUUUAAAGCUUCCCAGUCCUCCAACUUCCCAAUAUUUUUCCUCUAUUAUAUGCUGUCUCUUUUGCUUAUAUUGUUUUUGAUUUCCUUGUCUGCCACAUUUACAUCAUCCUGUCUUUAGAGUACUUCUUCUUUGGGUUGUAUCCGUCAUGCGCUUUCUGAGUCUCUCCUAGAAUCUACACUCUUUGCUGUUGUGUCAUCAUCAGAUAGUUUACCCUUCUAAUCAGCUUUGGCUAGCUCUUCUCUCAUGCCUCUAUAAUCUUUUAGAUGGUUUUCACUGUGACAUAGACACAGACUAAACAACCUUCUUUUUCAAUAUUGUCAUGAGUAUCCUCAUACAUUCAGCAGCAGUACUUUUAUUUUAGAGUGUUGAUUCAAAUGCACUGUUUCAGUCAAUGCAACCCUCUAUUAAUCCCUCAUAGUGACACUUUGAAAGGACUGCAUCAACUGUAAAGUGUUUUGUAGACAGCGUCACCAUUUUAUACUCCAGUCCACAGUCAGUCUGCAAAUUGGUCAGCCAGUAUGAGUUUGCACCAGGAGACCGAGCCAAUCACAGGAAGAGUGAGGCCAUUCGCUUCCCAAGCUGCCUGCCAUCCCCUUCACCUUCCAUUCCAACUACCUG
Hypanus sabinus (Atlantic stingray) is the source of this 3769-nucleotide long non-coding RNA. RefSeq lists it as uncharacterized. The record is from RefSeq and is a predicted model, not a curated record. The transcript is spliced from 4 exons. NCBI's taxonomy places the organism in Eukaryota, Metazoa, Chordata, Chondrichthyes, Myliobatiformes, Dasyatidae.